UACGUAGGGUGCGAGCGUUAAUCGGAAUUACUGGGCGUAAAGCGUGCGCAGGCGGUUCGCCAAGUCAGGUGUGAAAUCCCCGGGCUUAACCUGGGAAUUGCGCUUGAAACUAGCGGGCUUGAGUGUGGCAGAGGGGGGUGGAAUUCCACGUGUAGCAGUGAAAUGCGUAGAUAUCAAGAGGAACACCUGAGGUGAAGACGGGUUGCUGGGCUGACACUGACGCUGAGGCGCGAAAGCCAGGGGAGCAAACGGG
Molecule: ribosomal RNA, 253 nt
Filed under: uncultured prokaryote
Description: partial 16S ribosomal RNA
Rfam family: Bacterial small subunit ribosomal RNA
Source: RNAcentral